UGUUGAACGACCAUGGAGCCCACUCU
RNAcentral lists this non-coding RNA (26 nucleotides) under Mus musculus (house mouse). The record is from RNAcentral. Lineage: Eukaryota; Metazoa; Chordata; Mammalia; Rodentia; Muridae.